GAGUUUGGAUCAUGGCUCAAAUUGAACGCUGGCGGCAUGCCUUACACAUGCAAGUCGAACGGCAGCACGGGAGCUUGCUCCUGGUGGCGAGUGGCGAACGGGUGAGUAAAGCAUCGGAACGUACCUUGUCGAGGGGGAUAACGCAGCGAAGUUGUGCUAAUACCGCACACGUCCUGAGGGAGAAAGCGGGGGACCGCAAGGCCUCGCGCGAUGAGAGCGGCCGAUGUCAGAUUAGCUAGUUGGUGAGGUAAAGGCUCACCAAGGCGACGAUCUGUAGCGGGUCUGAGAGGAUGAUCCGCCACACUGGGACUGAGACACGGCCCAGACUCCUACGGGAGGCAGCAGUGGGGAAUUUUGGACAAUGGGGGAAACCCUGAUCCAGCCAUGCCGCGUGAGUGAAGAAGGCCUUCGGGUUGUAAAGCUCUUUCGGCCGGGAAAAAAUUGCACGGAUGAACAGUCUGUGUAGAUGAUGGUACCGGACUAAGAAGCACCGGCUAACUACGUGCCAGCAG
This 512-nucleotide ribosomal RNA is filed under the name uncultured beta proteobacterium. RNAcentral describes it as "bacterial SSU rRNA". It matches the Rfam family "Bacterial small subunit ribosomal RNA", at positions 9 to 514 of the family's 1533-position model. Lineage: Bacteria; Pseudomonadati; Pseudomonadota; Betaproteobacteria. The record is from RNAcentral.